CCGGGGGGAGCUGGGGGGAGCAGGGGGGAGCCGGUCGGAGCCGGGGGAAGCCGGCGGCCUGGCUGGCCCGCCUGUGCGCCUCCAGCCGCCCCUCCUCGGACUGAGGCGCCCCGCGCGCAGGCCUCCCGGGAGGGCGGGAUGAGCAGCGGGCAGCACCCGGGCCGGGAGCUCCGGGCAGGCCCGGCGCCCAUGGCUCCUGCCAGGUCGAACAGGACCCUGAAUCUGCGAGUCUGGGUACCCCCGUGCCUGAGGGAGCCUCAGCCUGGCCUGGAAGAACUGCCACCGUGGAGGAGCGAUUGUUGAAAGGGAUGGCCACACAUCCUUUGGCCACCAUUCAACCCACUGCAAUGACAGUGUGACUGGCAUAAUGAGGGACACGGAGCUGAUUCAUCAGCACUUCAGGACAGUCAAGAAAGGGUUGGCAUAAAAAAAAUAAUAAAACUGAAAAUAGGCAGCACUUCCAGAUGAGAGUCUGUGCAGAUCAGCUGCAGCAUGCAAAGACCAACCCAUUCUGUUGCUGCACCUGAAAUUCCUCCAUCUCAGAGCUCCUGAGACUCACAUGGAAUCUGACAUAUGCUGAAAUUGAGCUUCCAAAUGUGACCAAGAUAACUGGUGAUUCUCUGGUCUUUCCAUCUGCCGUUUCCGUCCAUUGCACUUCUCAGUGGCUCCUUUAUUUGUCAAGCUUCUGCAGGUUUAACUUCCAAAACUUAUAAAGCAGCUUAUUCUAAUUUGUCAUGUGAUAAACAAGUCAACUUGGAAGAGUAAAUAUAAGAGCAGAGAUAACUGCUCAUAAAUUCAGAGAGCCAUUGACAGUAAUGGGUUUUUCAGAAGGAACUGUGAGAGCUGUGAAACAUUCCCAAAGGUCAAUGUGAUUCUAUGGGUGAUAUUUAAAAGAAAAUUCAAGGCCUUUAUCUUCAGCCUAGAAAGUGUUUUUGAAAUUUUCAUCCAUAGCUGUUUCUAUUCUAUGAGCCUCAUGGGUAAACCUUAGUGAGAAAUCAGCUGAGACUUCCACUAGCUCUCUUGGCUUUUAGCUUCUCCUCCAUUCUUCUCACCCCUACUCUGAAUCCACUGAUUCUUGGAGAUCAUUUGAUAGCACUGACCUAAUCAUGUCUUUCUGUUUCUUUUCUAACUUUUUCGCUUUGUGUGCUAUGAUGAAGAACCUGAGGCAAUCAACUUAUGGGAAGUAAAGGUUUUCCUUUGGCUCAUGGUAUGCAGGGUUUAGUCCAUGCUUGCUUGACUCUGUGGUUUUACUGUUGUUUGCUGUACAUCCAGGUAAGGGCACAUGUUUGAGGAGGGCUUUUCAGCACACAGCAGAUGGACAACAGAGAGACACACAGGAAGUGUCCAGGUCUAAUAUCCGCUUUAAAGUCACACCCCAACCACCUGACUUCCCUCUUCUACACCCUGCACCCUAAAGGUUCUACACCUCCCCUGAGUCUUGCAGAGCUGGCAAGUGAGCUUUCAGCAUGUGGGCUUGGGGACCUUCAAGUUCCAAACUACAGCAACUUCCAACCCCUUAUUAUUGUUGAUAAUAAGUUUUAAGGUUUUUCUAAGUUUAGUCUGAAUCUUUCUUUUCAGUUCCUUGUCUACCAUAGUUCUUCUAUACGCUUUUUCCCUUCCUUGUAAUCUUUGUACAUACCCACUAGAGUUCCCGUGAUAACCUUUCUCCUUCAAAGAAGACUUCUCUUGAACCACAGAUCCAAGUCCAUCCACAGCAGUUAAUCUUAUUAAAGCUCCACAGCUCGUGGAAGAGUUCACGCAGACUCCUGGUUCAGAAGCUCAGGUUCUGUCUGCUCAGAUGUCCACCUGGCCAGUGCCCACCGAGUCCUUAGUGUCACCAUGAGUAUGACAAUGAACAUCUUCAGAAUAAGGUCUCAUCUCUACCAGGUCCAUGACCUUUUUGAUUAAAGUGCAUUAAUACAUUCCCCAGCUAUCCUGAAAUGCAGCAGAAUUGCAUGCAUAUUUUAACAUAAUAACAGCCAUAACAUAAUAAAGAAGUUAAGUAAAAGAAAUGUAAAAUGAGCUUCUGCACAUGCAUACAAUCACAAAAUUGAUGCCCUGGCACAGCUCUCUAAAACCUCUGACAAAGUGCUGGUCAGAUUAUUUCCACUUUUGUUGAAUUACUGUAAGAUGACAUUGGCAUAGGUUAAAUCUCAGAAACCAGUAAUUUAUCAGCAAAUUCAGGGGCCAACAUGCCCUGCACAUCAAUGAGAGGAGUUCAAUGAGAGAAGAUUCCAUCACUUUCAAACCUAAGGGUCGACAUUCACAUGUGUAAUUAACAUUGCUAAAGCAUUCUUCACCUUUAUAGAAAGACAAUCGGGUUUUAUGCUCAGAGUGUUUUGUAGGUAUCUAAAGGUCCAGUGAGAGAUUGUCAAGCUGUGAGGGACAUAGGACAUUUCUGGUGGGGCCACACUGUCACACAGAUUACAAGAUGUUUUCUAGAAACUACCUCCUGCUAAGUAAGAGCUUCCCAGCCUUUGAGUUUUUCUAAUUUGAAUAUGUUUAAACAUUUUCAGUUCCACUGAUAACCUAAGCUAUUAAACUCAAAGAGUUCAUGCUUCAUUUUAGACAUCUUAUUAACUUCUCUAAUUUUAAUUUAAUUCUUGUCCAGUUGUUAUUUCACCAUUAAGCUUUCUUAUUUACCCCUACGUUAAAUUAAUUCAAUUUUCUUCAACUUCCAGGUGGAACAGAUCUCAUUUCUUAAGGACUUCUCAAAAUGGUCCAGCCUGGAGCCAGGACCCACUCUGGUAUGCUCUACAGUGCAAAAGGUAAAUUUCCAAAAGGUAAGUACAUUGCACCAUAAGAAUGGACUAGCUCAUUUGUAUUCUGCUACUGAAGCAUUCUAGUGCUGUGUUAGAUGCUAACCUAACUAUCUGGAAGGCUGACAGUGAGUUCCAGUGAACUUCUGAACAAAGUACGAUAGAGUUGCCAAACUAAGACAAACAGAAUACAGAGAAUGCUGGUGACGGUCCGGAAACUUUCAGCCUGACAAGAACAACAUGUCUUCACCCACCAUUACAGCAGGCGAAAGUCUGGAAUCAGCGUGUGGAUAGGACCAUGCUCCCUCAGAAGCCCUAGAGGAAACAUUCCUUGUCUCUUCCAGCCUCACGUGGCAGCUGGUGUUUCUUCCCGUGUCACCACAUCUCCCUCAGCUGUCUUCAGCAGUCAUGGAACCUGCUCUUCUUGUGUCUGGAGCUGAAUCUGCUCCGCCUCUCUACUGAGGACCCAUGGGAGGGCAUCUGGAGCCUAUGCAGACAACCCAGGAUAAGGUUUUUCCUCAAACUCCUUCAUCUAAUCCCACCACUUGUCAUGGAAGGCAGUGCUCCCAGGUUCUGGUUCUGAAGAAGGGGACACAUCCUUUGGCCACCAUUCAGCCCACUGGCAAUGACAGUGUGACAGCUAUAAUGAGGGACGCUGAGCUGAUUCAUCAGCACUUCAGGAUAGUCAAGAAAGGGUUGGCAUAAAAAAAUAACAACAAAACUGAAAAUAAGUGAGUCCUAAAGCCCAUGAAAUUGACAGGGUAUCCCAGGUAUAGAAGGCUCCAUAACAACCAAGAGAAUUCAGAACCUAUUCAGGGUGAGACCAAAUUCUAGAGUGUAAGACAUCUGAGAAAGAAUUAUGACACAAAUGAUCUGCAGAGAGCAGGUAAACAGAGAGUCUUAGAAAUAAUCACUUGUAUUUUUAUCUUAAUAUAUAUUUAACUAUUUAAGAGAAUGGAAAAAAUUUGCCCCGUAAUGUCAUGAUCAGAGGGUCUAAAGGAGAGUUCUCUGCCAGUUUCUACAAAGCUGAAAUGUGGCCAUCAAUUUGUCCACUAGUUAAACCAUGCAGAGGAUUAGUUUUUCUUUUAAACAUCAUAGCCAAAAUCCUCAUUAAGAUAUUAAGCAUAUGAAAUUCUUCAUAAUGCUAUCAAAGGUGGCAUUUAAUUUAAUAAUUAGGUAGACUGAAUAGAUUAUCCGCAAUGGUGAGAAUCUCAAGUGAAUAUUUCAGCCACUGUAGCUCCUAAUGCUAUAAUACACACAAGUAAGGGAAAAUUAUUUGAGCAUUGAGAAACGUGUGUUUGAAUUUUCAUUUGGUAUCAAUUCUAAAAGUAAAGGAAAAAAUGCUUCUGCAAGCAUAAGAUUAAAUUUAGUUGAGUGUUUUGUAAGCAUUGUUUUCUUAAAUAAAAAAAGUAAAAUUAUGCCCAGA
Molecule: long non-coding RNA, 4185 nt
Organism: Cavia porcellus (domestic guinea pig)
Lineage: Eukaryota; Metazoa; Chordata; Mammalia; Rodentia; Caviidae
Exons: 4
Source: RefSeq, a predicted model, not a curated record